Molecule: ribosomal RNA, 253 nt
Filed under: uncultured bacterium
Lineage: Bacteria
Description: partial 16S ribosomal RNA
Rfam family: Bacterial small subunit ribosomal RNA
Source: RNAcentral
UCCGUAGGGUGCAAGCGUUAAUCGGAAUUACUGGGCGUAAAGCGUGCGCAGGCGGUUAUGUAAGACAGGGGUGAAAUCCCCGGGCUUAACCUGGGAACUGCAUUUGUGACUGCAUAGCUAGAGUACGGUAGAGGGGGAUGGAAUUCCGCGUGUAGCAGUGAAAUGCGUAGAUAUGCGGAGGAACACCGAUGGCGAAGGCAAUACCCUGGACCUGUACUGACGCUCAUGCACGAAAGCGUGGGGAGCAAACAGG